This 2203-nucleotide ribosomal RNA is filed under the name human gut metagenome. RNAcentral describes it as "bacterial LSU rRNA". It matches the Rfam family "Bacterial large subunit ribosomal RNA", at positions 725 to 2925 of the family's 2925-position model. The record is from RNAcentral.
GUGAGCUAUCCCUGGGCAGGCUGAAGCGGGGGUAAGACCCCGUGGAGGGCCGAACGGACGUACGUUGAAAAGUGCGCCGAUGACCUGGGGAUAGGGGUGAAAGGCCUAUCAAACCCGGAGAUAUCUCGUUCUCCCCGAAAUAGCUUUAGGGCUAGCGUCGAGAGUUAACCGCCGGAGGUAGAGCACCGGAUCGAUGAGGGGGCUUCGCCGCCUACCGAUUCGAACCGAACUCCGAAUGCCGGUCGGUCCAUAUCUCGGCAGUCAGAGCAUGUGGGCUAAGCUGUGUGCUCGAGAGGGAAACAGCCCAGACCGCCCGCUAAGGCCCCCAAUUCUCAGUUAAGUGGCAAAGGAUGUGCGUCCGCGCAGACAACCAGGAGGUUGGCUUAGAAGCAGCCACCCCUUCAAAGAGUGCGUAACAGCUCACUGGUCGAGUGGACAUGCGCCGACAAUACACGGGGCUAAACUGAGAGCCGAAGCGGCGGCAAUGAGAUUUCAUUGGGUAGGGGAGCGUCCCCAGCGGGGCGAAGCCGGAGGGUCACCGACGGUGGACUGCUGGGGAGUGAGAAUGCUGGCAUGAGUAGCGAGAGACGAGAGAGUAACUCGUCCGCCGUAAACCCGAGGUUUCCUGGGCGAGGCUAAUCCUCCCAGGGUCAGUCGGGGGCUAAGCCGAGGGCGGAAGCCGUAGGCGACGCGCAGCAGGUGGACAUUCCUGCACCGGAGAUGCACCGUCACGACCGACGGGGCGACGGAUUGGGGUGGCUCGGCGGGGUUCUGGACGUCCCCGUGAUGGAGCGCGGCCCGGAGACCAGGCAAAUCCGGUCUCCACGAGGGCGAGGCUCCGGACGAAGCGACUGAGCGAAGCGAGUGAGCCCGUGGUCCCCAGAAAAACCCCUAGGCAGGGGCAUCUCCGCCCGUACCGCAAACCGACACAGGUGGGUGGGUAGAACAUACCGAGGCGAUCGGGUCAACCAUGGUCAAGGAACUCGGCAAAAUGGCCCCGUAACUUCGGGAGAAGGGGCGCCGGCGCGUACGUGGACCCACUUGCUGGGCGAGCGGAGGCCGGCCGCAGUGAAGAGGCCCAAUCGACUGUUUACCAAAAACACAGGACUCUGCAGAAGGCGAGAGCCGACGUAUAGGGUCUGACGCCUGCCCGGUGCCGGAAGGUCACGCGGAGGGGUUAGCGCGAGCGAAGCCCCGAAGCCAAGCCCCGGUAAACGGCGGCCGUAACUAUAACGGUCCUAAGGUAGCGAAAUUCCUUGUCGGGUAAGUUCCGACCUGCACGAAAGGCGCAACGAAUUGGGCGCUGUCUCGACCAUGGACCCGGUGAAAUUCCACUAGUCGUGAAGAUGCGACUUACCCGCGGAAGGACGGAAAGACCCCGUGAACCUUCACUGCAGCUUGGCAUUGGCCGCUGGCCCGUCGCGUAGAGGAUAGGCGGGAGGCUUCGAAGCCCGGGCGCCAGCCCGGGUGGAGCCGACCUUGGAAUACCGCCCUCGGCGCGCCGGCGUCCUAACCCCAUGCCGUCAUCCGGAUGGGGGACCGUGCCAGGUGGGUAGUUUGACUGGGGCGGUCGCCUCCUAAAGGGUAACGGAGGCGCGCGAAGGUCCGCUCGGGACGGUCGGCAACCGUCCUCUUGAGUGCAAGAGCAUAAGCGGGCUUGACUGCGAGGCCUACAAGCCGAGCAGGUGCGAAAGCAGGCUCUAGUGAUCCGGCGGCCCCGCGUGGGUGGGCCGUCGCUCAACGGAUAAAAGGUACUCCGGGGAUAACAGGCUGAUCUUGCCCAAGAGUCCACAUCGACGGCAAGGUUUGGCACCUCGAUGUCGGCUCAUCGCAUCCUGGGGCUGGAGCAGGUCCCAAGGGUACGGCUGUUCGCCGUUUAAAGCGGUACGCGAGCUGGGUUCAGAACGUCGUGAGACAGUUCGGUCCCUAUCCUCCGCGGGCGCAGGAGAAUCGAGGGAGGCUGCCCCUAGUACGAGAGGACCGGGGUGGACGCACCUCUGGUGAACCGGUUGUCGACCAACGGCACGGCCGGGUAGCCACGUGCGGCGCGGAUAACCGCUGAAGGCAUCUAAGCGGGAAGCCGUUCCCGAGAUCAGUUCUCCUUCCGGUAAGGGCCCAGGUAGACUACCUGGUCGAUAGGCCGCAGGUGCAAGCACGGCGACGUGCUCAGCCGAGCGGUACUAAUAGCCCGAGCUCUUACCCG